GCAGUUUGUGUAUUAUGACAAAACUGGAGCAGCAGCAAAUUCAGCAAAGUUUUUAAGUGUCUUCUUUGCACGCCAAUAGACAGCAUUUGCUGUUUCUGAUGUUCCCAGCUUAACCUCCAUGGCAUAGUAACCUCGCCACAAUCUCAAAUUUUGGACGUGAGUUGCAAGUGCAGAUUCAUAUAUUUUUCGGGCAUUUCCAAGACAAUUUUUAUUACCAAUGGAUGCAAGGUUCUCUUCCAAGUCGAUGCAAUUUUCGUAUAAAGCAAGACCUGGACGUGGCAAGGCAAGAAACCGCUUAUAAGUCUCUCUUGCAUGUUGAAUUCCAUCCUUCUGAAGAAUAAAAUUUACAAGAGCACAUGGGAGGGAGAAUCCAUUAUCACUGCCACCAUGUUUAGCUACAACAGUGAACGCCAUCUCAACCAGCUUGUCAAAAUAAUGUUUUUCUAUUGCAAAAAACUUGAGUGCCAUUACCCAUAAGUCCUCAGCUUCUGUUACUGACACUUUUCUCAACACACUUCUAAGGAGUUCAAAGAUGGAUUGUAGAUCAUCCUUAGUUGGUCCAGGAGUAUUAUUUGUAAAAUAUCUAAUUUCUAAAGAGGCCCUUAAUAGCCAUAAUUUUACUGAAUCUGAAAGUAUUCCGCCGCAUAGUUUUUCUGCUAGCUUCUUUCCUUCAUCUAGUCUCCCUAGUUGCAAGUAAAAUGAGACAUAUUCACAAGCAAGUUCCUCAGUAAUACAUCCCAAUGUCUCAGCUUUCUCAUAUACCCUCAAGAUACGAGAGAUAUAAUCCUCAGUAUGAUUGGAUAAUCCCGAGAGUUGGUCUUCUUCUUUAUGAUUGGAUAAUCCCAAGGGUUGGUCUUCUUCUUUUCUAGGGGAAGCAACAUCCGCAAAGAACUUAAUAUAUAGCUUAAACAUAACGGAUGAAGGCACAAACUGCAAAGCCUCCUCGUAAACCUGAACUGCUUUUUGCAGUUGUGUCGACAUGAUACCUUCAAUAUUCUCCUGCAUAGUUCUAAAAUUAGUCAUUUCAAGCCUAGCAAGCCAAUCCCAAUAUUCCGGAUCUUCAGAGAAGUCUUUCCUCAUAUCACUUANNNNNNNGCGCAUUUCUUCUGAAUCUGCCAACUCUAUUGCUUCCAAUAUCUCAAAUAACCGCUUUCUUAGGCCAAAACUAUAAGGAAGAGCUUCAAUUGCCCCACUAUAGAUAGUCUGAAGAAUGCUCAAACCUUGUUCUCCAAACAAAUCCACUUUCUUCUCUGACUCGUCAAUAUUAACAUUUGAUCCAUUACUAUUUCCUUUUUCUUCAUCCAGUGACACAAACACACCAUCAUUUUCUUCUCUCCACUGUUGCUCAUCAGCAUCCCUAUGAUCACGGACCAGAGUUCCCUUGUCCUCUCCAAGGGCAACCUUCCGGGCCUUUAACUUGUUAAGGUAUGUGAGCUCCAUCCGAAGAUACUCUACCCAAAGGUCUUCUGAAGUUGGGCACACUCUCAAACCACUCUGCAUGAGGGCACGAGCAGCUGCAACAUUUAG
RNAcentral lists this unclassified non-coding RNA (1527 nucleotides) under Hevea brasiliensis (rubber tree). The record is from RNAcentral. Lineage: Eukaryota; Viridiplantae; Streptophyta; Magnoliopsida; Malpighiales; Euphorbiaceae.